RNAcentral lists this ribosomal RNA (472 nucleotides) under uncultured Thiobacillus sp. RNAcentral describes it as "bacterial SSU rRNA". It matches the Rfam family "Bacterial small subunit ribosomal RNA", at positions 908 to 1382 of the family's 1533-position model. The record is from RNAcentral. Lineage: Bacteria; Pseudomonadati; Pseudomonadota; Betaproteobacteria; Nitrosomonadales; Thiobacillaceae.
AAAUUGACGGGGACCCGCACAAGCGGUGGAUGAUGUGGAUUAAUUCGAUGCAACGCGAAAACCUUACCUACCCUUGACAUGUCCAGAACCCUGCAGAGAUGCGGGGGUGCCCGAAAGGGAAUUGGAACACAGGUGCUGCAUGGCUGUCGUCAGCUCGUGUCGUGAGAUGUUGGGUUAAGUCCCGCAACCGAGCCGCAACCCUUAUCAUUAGUUGCUACGCAAGGGCACUCUAAUGAGACUGCCGGUGACAAACCGGAGGAAGGUGGGGAUGACGUCAAGUCCUCAUGGCCCUUAUGGGUAGGGCUUCACACGUCAUACAAUGGUCGGUACAGAGGGUUGCCAAGCCGCGAGGUGGAGCCAAUCCCAGAAAGCCGAUCGUAGUCCGGAUUGUUCUCUGCAACUCGAGAGCAUGAAGUCGGAAUCGCUAGUAAUCGCGGAUCAGCAUGUCGCGGUGAAUACGUUCCCGGGUCUU